UUCCCGUACUUGGUGUUACUGCGAAGGGUGGACGGAGAAGGCUAUGUUGGCCGGGCGACGGUUGUCCCGGUUUAAGCGUGUAGGCUGGUUUUCCAGGCAAAUCCGGAAAAUCAAGGCUGAGGCGUGACGACGAGGCACUACGGUGCUGAAGCAACAAAUGCCCUGCUUCCAGGAAAAGCCUCUAAGCAUCAGGUAACAUCAAAUCGUACCCCAAACCGACACAGGUGGUCAGGUAGAGAAUAC
Molecule: ribosomal RNA, 243 nt
Filed under: Salmonella enterica subsp. enterica serovar Mbandaka
Lineage: Bacteria; Pseudomonadati; Pseudomonadota; Gammaproteobacteria; Enterobacterales; Enterobacteriaceae
Description: partial 23S ribosomal RNA
Rfam family: Bacterial large subunit ribosomal RNA
Source: RNAcentral